GACGUAGGGUCCGAGCGUUGUCCGGAGUUACUGGGCGUAAAGGGCGCGUAGGCGGUUCCAUGCGUCACACGUGAAAGCCCCCGGCUCAACCGGGGAGAGUCGUCGGGGACGGGGUGAGCUUGAGGGUAUCGAGGGGCUGGUGGAAUUCCCGGUGUAGUGGUGAAAUGCGUAGAUAUCGGGAGGAACACCCGUGGCGAAGGCGGCCAGCUGGGAUACACCUGACGCUGAGACACGAAGGCGUGGGGAGCGAACGGG
This 255-nucleotide ribosomal RNA is filed under the name uncultured bacterium. RNAcentral describes it as "partial 16S ribosomal RNA". It matches the Rfam family "Bacterial small subunit ribosomal RNA", at positions 524 to 776 of the family's 1533-position model. The record is from RNAcentral.